CAGUAGCCGCGGGAAUACGGAGGGUGCAAGCGUUAAUCGGAAUUACUGGGCGUAAAGCGCACGCAGGCGGUCUGACAAGUCAGAUGUAAAAUCCCCGGGCUUAACCUGGGAACUGCAUUUGAAACUGUCAGGCUGGAGUCUUGUAGAGGGGGGUGGAAUUCCAGGUGUAGCGGUGAAAUGCGUAGAGAUCUGGAGGAAUACCGGUGGCGAAGGCGGCCCCCUGGACAAAGACUGACGCUCAGGUGCGAAAGCGUGGGGAGCAAACAGGAUUAGAUACCCCUGUAGUCCCUGUCUCUUAUAA
Molecule: ribosomal RNA, 301 nt
Filed under: uncultured bacterium
Lineage: Bacteria
Description: partial 16S ribosomal RNA
Rfam family: Bacterial small subunit ribosomal RNA
Source: RNAcentral